This 491-nucleotide long non-coding RNA is filed under the name Phasianus colchicus (ring-necked pheasant). RNAcentral describes it as "lncRNA (ENSPCLG00000008632.1)". The record is from RNAcentral. Lineage: Eukaryota; Metazoa; Chordata; Aves; Galliformes; Phasianidae.
GGGAAUUAGCUACACCUAGAGCACCAGGCAGGCAGAAGGCAGUCAAGAGCUGGAGGAACAGCUCCGGCGUUUGUUGCAGAUGAGAGAUGGGGUGAAGGAGCAAAAGCCCAAAGGGCCUCUGGUGAGCACUGAUGCCAGCACAGCAGUGCAAGGGAUGAAGCUGGAACCAGGGCACUUGUGGCCAAAGCCAACGGACAUCUUUCCUGGAGGCACAGGGAAGGAGAAAUGAUAGGGCUUUAUCUUAACUGCGCAAAGCUUCAGCAGCAGAACAAGAUGCUUGCAAUUUGCUGCUCCUUAUGCAGUGGAACAGCUACAGGACAGCCCGUGUUUGACACCGACCUCCUGUUUAGACCAGACGUUGCACUUCCAGAAUUCAACAGACCAAGGAUGCUCCAUAUCAAUUGAUCUGAACGCCAUUAGCUCAAAGGGAUCUUUCUACAUGGGGGAUCACUAAUGAGCUGAAAUAAAAUAAGAGGUAAAAGUGGAAUACA